This 253-nucleotide ribosomal RNA is filed under the name uncultured bacterium. RNAcentral's name for it is "partial 16S ribosomal RNA". It matches the Rfam family "Bacterial small subunit ribosomal RNA", at positions 524 to 776 of the family's 1533-position model. The record is from RNAcentral.
UACGUAGGGUGCAAGCGUUAAUCGGAAUUACUGGGCGUAAAGCGUGCGCAGGCGGUUAUGCAAGACAGAUGUGAAAUCCCCGGGCUCAACCUGGGAACUGCAUUUGUGACUGCAUGGCUAGAGUACGGUAGAGGGGGAUGGAAUUCCGCGUGUAGCAGUGAAGUGCGUAGAUAUGCGGAGGAACACCGAUGGCGAAGGCAAUCCCCUGGACCUGUACUGACGCUCAUGCACGAAAGCGUGGGGAGCAAACAGG